RNAcentral lists this ribosomal RNA (492 nucleotides) under uncultured bacterium. Its description in RNAcentral is "partial 16S ribosomal RNA". It matches the Rfam family "Bacterial small subunit ribosomal RNA", at positions 30 to 507 of the family's 1533-position model. The record is from RNAcentral.
AUUGAACGCUGGCGGCAUGCUUUACACAUGCAAGUCGAACGGUAACAGGCCUUCGGGUGCUGACGAGUGGCGAACGGGUGCGUAAUGCAUCGGAACGUACCCAGAGGUGGGGGAUAACGCAGCGAAAGCUGUGCUAAUACCUCAUGUGAUCUGGGGAUGAAAGCGGGGGACCGAGCAGCAAUGUUUGGCCUCGCGCCUUUGGAGCGGCCGAUGUCGGAUUAGCUAGUUGGUGGGGUAAAGGCCUACCAAGGCGACGAUCCGUAGCUGGUCUGAGAGGACGACCAGCCACACUGGGACUGAGACACGGCCCAGACUCCUACGGGAGGCAGCAGUGGGGAAUUUUGGACAAUGGGCGCAAGCCUGAUCCAGCAAUGCCGCGUGCGGGAAGAAGGCCUUCGGGUUGUAAACCGCUUUUGGCAGGAACGAAACGGUGUCCGCUAAUACCGGGCGCUAAUGACGGUACCUGCAGAAUAAGCACCGGCUAACUACGUG